This is a long non-coding RNA of Oxyura jamaicensis (ruddy duck), 375 nucleotides long. RefSeq lists it as uncharacterized. The record is from RefSeq and is a predicted model, not a curated record. The transcript has 3 exons. Lineage: Eukaryota; Metazoa; Chordata; Aves; Anseriformes; Anatidae.
AUCUUUUCAUGCAUUGAAGACAGGGAGAAAAGUUUGAUUUAAAAUGGAAACAUUUAUUGUAGCAUUAAUUCCAGAGUGACUGUCCUUUUUCAUACAUUCUUUCCCAAAUCUUUGGAUCCUUGUUUCUUCUUCAUAAGUGGACAUUUAUCACCAUGGCAUUAAACUGUCAUUAAAUUUCUUGCCUUGGGUGCUCUGAAGGAAUUAAGAGUUCAUUGUGUGUAACCGAAACUAUUCCAUAUAAGUCCUGGUGGCAUGCUAGUCACUGUAUAUUUGAAUGCCCUCCAGUAGUGUGCUAAGCAACGUGACUAACAUCUGCUGUUUGUUUUCUCCUCUGCACAAGGGAGAAUGAACUGACGUGCAUUCUUUUAAAAAGGG